Long non-coding RNA from Peromyscus maniculatus bairdii (prairie deer mouse), 458 nucleotides. RefSeq lists it as uncharacterized. Lineage: Eukaryota; Metazoa; Chordata; Mammalia; Rodentia; Cricetidae. The record is from RefSeq and is a predicted model, not a curated record.
GCCGGCCCGCGGCACCGCCCACGGAGGAGGGAGCUGGAGGCGUUUGCAGCGGGAGUGCGAACGUGCGCCUGGGAAGAGGGAGGUUUCAUUUUCGUAUUACUGUGACUGACCACGUGACAGAAAUCAGCAGGGAGAAAGACUUUAUCUCACCCUUAGGAGGGAUCCUCAGCCCCUCAUGGAGGGGAAGGUUUUCUCAGUUUGCCUGAUCUCCUGAGGGGAGACAUGUCAUGAGCUUCACUUUGGAAAGGUCCACUCAGCAGAAGCUGCCACGAGUCAUGAAGAAAGCAAGGCCCUCAUCCAACAAGCUAUGAAGAAUCUUGCCAAUAACCAUAUAUGUAGCUUAGAAAUUUAUCAACCUUGGGUUAUAUUAGAAACUCUGUAUUUAAUUAUAGAUAUAAUAUAAUAUAUAUAUUAUUAUAUUAGAAACUAUAGCAGAAGACCUAAAGUAACCAUGAUAG